UCCUCUUUACAGAGGCAGUUUGUUUCGAGUUCCCGGCUUUACCCGCUGGUAACAAAACAUGAGGGUUGCGCUCGUUGCGGGACUUAACCCAACAUUUCACAACACGAGCUGACGACAGCCAUGCACCACCUGUGUAUCACCCUCGAAGGCGACCGCUUUUCGGCGGCUUGCAGAUACAUGUCAAGCCCUGGUAAGGUUCUUCGCGUUGCAUCGAAUUAAGCCAUAUGCUCCACCGCUUGUGCGGGCCCCCGCCAAUUCCUUUGAGUUUCAACCUUGCGGCCGUAGUCCCCAGGCGGUUCACUUAAUGCGUUAGCUGCGGCACCGAAGGAAACCCCCCGACACCUAGUGAACAUCGUUUAUAGCUAAGACUAC
This 372-nucleotide unclassified non-coding RNA is filed under the name uncultured bacterium. Its description in RNAcentral is "contains 16S-23S intergenic spacer region". The record is from RNAcentral.